GCUCCAAGCUCCAACUUUUCUUCGUCGUUAAGGUCACCGCACAAGCUUCGCAAAAUUGUGGCUGCAUGGACUCCAACUGGCUUGGUGAGCAUGUUGAUCAAGUUCUUGAGGGUCUUGCUAACGCCACCUUUUCUGUAGCUUUUGUGCAUGAGGAGCCUCGAGCAAUUGUUGGGACACUGGAGAACGAGCACAACUAUGGCUUCCCCGGCUCCAAUGGCGAUGGUCAACUUGUUUGGUGCGGUUUCUCUCGCAAAUAUGGCCAUCAAGCUUUGGAUAACUCCUCCAGUCGCGCCAAUGCAAUCUCUAAGCUCGUCCUCGGUUGCUAGCAGCUUGAUCACGUCUACUGCCAGGUUUUGUAGCUCCAAAUCUUCGAGAUUGCAUAUCCUUUGAAGACUUCUUACUGCUGACACUACCGAAACUAUCUUCUUUCGCAGUGACCGUCCAGAAUCUCCUCCCACGCGAGCCAAUGUCCUCAAAAGCUCGAGUGAUCGACGGAAUACUUCUCUCGACGUUUGUGCUCUGGGGAAGUGCCAGUCUUCGUCUUGGAUAAAUUCAACCAGGAUGGAGAUAAGUCCGCUGGUGUUACCGAUUCGCACGCAUAUCCUGUGGUCCACGGCUAGCCCGUUGAGGAUAGUGAGUCUGUAGCUCUUUUCUUCUAGCACUUCCUCCUCUCUUGCGGCUAAAAGAGCAGUGAGGGCCUCCAGGGAUCCAGGGAUAGCGGAAAUCCUGAAGCAGUUACGGCGGUGACGAACCAGGUGCUUGAUUACUAUGGUUGCAGCUUUCCUGAUUUCGGCCUCACUAGGAUCCUUCCAGGUGAUCAUCUCUAAGAGUCUCUCCACAACUCCGGGCGUGGUACCAAUCCUCCGUCGCGUUUCUUUUAUUGAAUCUCCUUUUGAGACAAGAGCUGACAGUAUGUUGACGCUACCGAGCUGCUCUUCCCUUAUGCUUGACUGCAGCUUCUCGACGGUGAAAUCGAUAAG
Molecule: long non-coding RNA, 980 nt
Filed under: Selaginella moellendorffii
Lineage: Eukaryota; Viridiplantae; Streptophyta; Lycopodiopsida; Selaginellales; Selaginellaceae
Description: long non-coding RNA (SMOE_LNC001941)
Source: RNAcentral